GACGAACGCUGGCGGCGUGCUUAACACAUGCAAGUCGAACGGAAAGGCCCUGCUUGCAGGGUACUCGAGUGGCGAACGGGUGAGUAACACGUGGGUGAUCUGCCCUGCACUUCGGGAUAAGCCUGGGAAACUGGGUCUAAUACCGGAUAGGAGCCAUUUUUAGUGUGAUGGUUGGAAAGUUUUUUCGGUGUAGGAUGAGCUCGCGGCCUAUCAGCUUGUUGGUGGGGUAAUGGCCUACCAAGGCGGCGACGGGUAGCCGGCCUGAGAGGGUGGACGGCCACAGUGGGACUGAGAUACGGCCCAGACUCCGACGGGAGGCAGCAGUGGGGAAUAUUGCACAAUGGGCGCAAGCCUGAUGCAGCGACGCCGCGUGGGGGAUGACGGCCUUCGGGUUGUAAACUCCUUUCGCUAGGGACGAAGCUUUUUGUGACGGUACCUAGAUAAGAAGCACCGGCUAACUACGUG
This 465-nucleotide ribosomal RNA is filed under the name uncultured bacterium. Its description in RNAcentral is "partial 16S ribosomal RNA". It matches the Rfam family "Bacterial small subunit ribosomal RNA", at positions 28 to 507 of the family's 1533-position model. The record is from RNAcentral.